This 427-nucleotide ribosomal RNA is filed under the name uncultured Aquimonas sp. RNAcentral describes it as "bacterial SSU rRNA". It matches the Rfam family "Bacterial small subunit ribosomal RNA", at positions 353 to 772 of the family's 1533-position model. Lineage: Bacteria; Pseudomonadati; Pseudomonadota; Gammaproteobacteria; Lysobacterales; Lysobacteraceae. The record is from RNAcentral.
AGUGGGGAAUAUUGGACAAUGGGCGCAAGCCUGAUCCAGCAAUGCCGCGUGUGUGAAGAAGGCCUUCGGGUUGUAAAGCACUUUUGUUCGGGAAGAAAUCCGUGUGGUUAAUACCCGUACGGGAUGACGGUACCGAAAGAAUAAGCACCGGCUAACUUCGUGCCAGCAGCCGCGGUAAUACGAAGGGUGCAAGCGUUAAUCGGAAUUACUGGGCGUAAAGCGUGCGUAGGCGGUUUGUUAAGUCAGAUGUGAAAGCCCCGGGCUCAACCUGGGAACUGCAUUUGAUACUGGCAGGCUAGAGUACGGUAGAGGGUGGUGGAAUUCCCGGUGUAGCGGUGAAAUGCGUAGAGAUCGGGAGGAACAUCCGUGGCGAAGGCGGCCACCUGGACCAGUACUGACGCUGAGGCACGAAAGCGUGGGGAGCAAA